UACGUAGGGUGCAAGCGUUAAUCGGAAUUACGGGGCUUAAAGCGUGCGCAGGCGGUUUUGUAAGUCAGAUGGGAAAUCCCCGGGCUUAACCUGGGACCUGCAUUUGUGACUGCAAAGCUAGAGUACGGUAGAGGGGGAUGGAAUUCCGCGUGUAGCAGUGAAAUGCGUAGAUAUGCGGAGGAACACCGAUGGCGAAGGCAAUCCCCUGGACCUGUACUGACGCUCAUGCACGAAAGCGUGGGGAGCAAACAGG
Molecule: ribosomal RNA, 253 nt
Filed under: uncultured bacterium
Lineage: Bacteria
Description: partial 16S ribosomal RNA
Rfam family: Bacterial small subunit ribosomal RNA
Source: RNAcentral